Molecule: ribosomal RNA, 482 nt
Filed under: uncultured bacterium
Lineage: Bacteria
Description: partial 16S ribosomal RNA
Rfam family: Bacterial small subunit ribosomal RNA
Source: RNAcentral
GACGAACGCUGGCGGCGUGCUUAACACAUGCAAGUCGAACGAUGAAGCUGGAGCUUGCUCCGGUGGAUUAGUGGCGAACGGGUGAGUAACACGUGAGCAAUCUGCCCUUGACUCUGGAUAACUGCGGGAAACUGUAGCUAAUACCGGAUACGAGGCUCGAAGGCAUCUUCGGGUCUGGAAAGAAUUUCGGUCAAGGAUGAGCUCGCGGCCUAUCAGCUUGUUGGUGAGGUAAUGGCUCACCAAGGCGACGACGGGUAGCCGGCCUGAGAGGGUGACCGGCCACACAGGGACUGAGACACGGCCCAGACUCCGACGGGAGGCAGCAGUGGGGAAUAUUGCACAAUGGGCGAAAGCCUGAUGCAGCAACGCCGCGUGAGGGAUGAAGGCCUUCGGGUUGUAAACCUCUUUUAGCAGGGAAGAAGCGAAAGUGACGGUACCUGCAGAAAAAGCACCGGCUAACUACGUGCCAGCCGCCGCCGUAA